Molecule: ribosomal RNA, 468 nt
Filed under: Triticum aestivum (bread wheat)
Lineage: Eukaryota; Viridiplantae; Streptophyta; Magnoliopsida; Poales; Poaceae
Description: partial small subunit ribosomal RNA
Source: RNAcentral
UGUAGUGUCAACGAUGAUGCAUACAUGUCAACUAUGGGUGUUGGCUCCAACAAUUCGCAUUGGUCUCAAACCAAUGACAUGCGUUUCGAAGACCAUGAGUUCGAGGUGGACGAGGAUGGUGAGGGCAUUGUCGACGCGCCGAAAGGAAGAUCGGGCAAUUACACCAACGCCGAUGACAUCUUACUAUGCAAUACUUGGUUGCAAGUGUUGAGGGAUCCAUCUGUUGGAGGUGAUCAAAGUAGAGAUGCUUAUUGGGGGCGGAUGAAAGAAUACUUUGAUGUUCGCAACGUGAGUGGAAUUGACCGCUCCGAGAGAUCACUUCGGUCCCGGUGGUCGACAAUCAACAUGGAUUGUCAAAAGUGGGCGGCCGCACAAAAGGCGGUUGACAAGUUGAACCCAAGUGGCACCAAUGAGGAUGAUAGAGUAAGUGGCAUUUCAUCCAUGUUCAUCAUACUUGUUGGUGUUUGA